RNAcentral lists this ribosomal RNA (253 nucleotides) under uncultured bacterium. RNAcentral describes it as "partial 16S ribosomal RNA". It matches the Rfam family "Bacterial small subunit ribosomal RNA", at positions 524 to 776 of the family's 1533-position model. The record is from RNAcentral.
UACGGAGGGUGCAAGCGUUAAUCGGACUUACUGGGCGUAAAGGGUGCGUAGGCGGUUGUUUAAGUCUGUUGUGAAAUCCCCGGGCUCAACCUGGGAAUGGCAAUGGAUACUGGGCAGCUAGAGUGUGUCAGAGGAUGGUGGAAUUCCCGGUGUAGCGGUGAAAUGCGUAGAGAUCGGGAGGAACAUCAGUGGCGAAGGCGGCCAUCUGGGACAACACUGACGCUGAAGCACGAAAGCGUGGGGAGCAAACAGG